Long non-coding RNA from Carassius carassius (crucian carp), 210 nucleotides. RefSeq lists it as uncharacterized. The transcript is spliced from 2 exons. Lineage: Eukaryota; Metazoa; Chordata; Actinopteri; Cypriniformes; Cyprinidae. The record is from RefSeq and is a predicted model, not a curated record.
UUUUAUUAGAACAGCAACAACCAGCUUCUUAUCAUCUAGACAUGCUUAUCUGUCAUGUUUAUAAGAGCAGUUCUCGUAGAAUUACUCAAAACAGGAAGUACAUUAAUUGGUCUACAAUAAGAACCUAAAAAGUCCGUUUUUCCAUUUAAGCUUGUGAAACUAAGCUAAAAGGGAAAUUGUGGAAAAAAAAACAACAACAAAAAAAAACAA